Molecule: ribosomal RNA, 796 nt
Filed under: gamma proteobacterium BAL385
Lineage: Bacteria; Pseudomonadati; Pseudomonadota; Gammaproteobacteria
Description: bacterial SSU rRNA
Rfam family: Bacterial small subunit ribosomal RNA
Source: RNAcentral
UACACAUGCAGUCGAGCGGAUGAAGAGAGCUUGCUCUCUGAUUCAGCGGCGGACGGGUGAGUAAUGCCUAGGAAUCUGCCUGAUAGUGGGGGACAACGUUUCGAAAGGAACGCUAAUACCGCAUACGUCCUACGGGAGAAAGCAGGGGACCUUCGGGCCUUGCGCUAUCAGAUGAGCCUAGGUCGGAUUAGCUAGUUGGUGAGGUAACGGCUCACCAAGGCGACGAUCCGUAACUGGUCUGAGAGGAUGAUCAGUCACACUGGAACUGAGACACGGUCCAGACUCCUACGGGAGGCAGCAGUGGGGAAUAUUGGACAAUGGGCGAAAGCCUGAUCCAGCCAUGCCGCGUGUGUGAAGAAGGUCUUCGGAUUGUAAAGCACUUUAAGUUGGGAGGAAGGGCAUUAACCUAAUACGUUAGUGUUUUGACGUUACCGACAGAAUAAGCACCGGCUAACUUCGUGCCAGCAGCCGCGGUAAUACGAAGGGUGCAAGCGUUAAUCGGAAUUACUGGGCGUAAAGCGCGCGUAGGUGGUUUGUUAAGUUGAAUGUGAAAGCCCCGGGCUCAACCUGGGAACUGCAUCCAAAACUGGCAAGCUAGAGUAUGGCAGAGGGUGGUGGAAUUUCCUGUGUAGCGGUGAAAUGCGUAGAUAUAGGAAGGAACACCAGUGGCGAAGGCGACCACCUGGGCUAAUACUGACACUGAGGUGCGAAAGCGUGGGGAGCAAACAGGAUUAGAUACCCUGGUAGUCCACGCCGUAAACGAUGUCGACUAGCCGUUGGGAUCCUUGAGAUCUUA